UAGGGAAUCUUCGGCAAUGGACGAAAGUCUGACCGAGCAACGCCGCGUGAGUGAAGAAGGUUUUCGGAUCGUAAAACUCUGUUGGUAGAGAAGAACGUUGGUGAGAGUGGAAAGCUCAUCAAGUGACGGUAACUACCCAGAAAGGGACGGCUAACUACGUGCCAGCAGCCGCGGUAAUACGUAGGUCCCGAGCGUUGUCCAGAUUUAUUGGGCGUAAAGCGAGCGCAGGUGGUUUAUUAAGUCUGGUGUAAAAGGCAGUGGCUCAACCAUUGUAUGCAUUGGAAACUGGUAGACUUGAGUGCAGGAGAGGAGAGUGGAACUCCAUGUGUAGCGGUGAAAUGCGUAGAUAUAUGGAGGAACACCGGUGGCGAAAAGCGGCUCUCUGGCCUGUAACUGACACUGAGGCUCGAAAGCGUGGGGAGCAAACAGGAUUAGAUACCCUGGUAGUCCACGCCGUAAACGAUGAGUGCUAGAUGUAGGGAGCUAUAAGUUCUCUGUAUCGCAGCUAACGCAAUAAGCACUCCGCCUGGGGAGUACGACCGCAAGGUUGAAAC
This 554-nucleotide ribosomal RNA is filed under the name uncultured bacterium. RNAcentral describes it as "partial 16S ribosomal RNA". It matches the Rfam family "Bacterial small subunit ribosomal RNA", at positions 355 to 900 of the family's 1533-position model. The record is from RNAcentral.